GAUGAACGCUGGCGGCGUGCCUAAUACAUGCAAGUCGAACGCAUUGUGGUUGAAAUGAUAUGAAGAACUUGUUCAGAUUUGAUUUUCAACAUUGCAAUGAGUGGCGAACGGGUGAGUAACACGUGGGAAACCUACCUCUUAGCAGGGGAUAACAUUUGGAAACAAAUGCUAAUACCGUAUAAUAAUUAAAACCGCAUGGUUUUAGUUUAAAAGAUGGUCUUGCUAUCACUAAGAGAUGGUCCCGCGGUGUAUUAGUUAGUUGGUGAGGUAAUGGCUCACCAAGACAAUGAUACAUAGCCGAGUUGAGAGACUGACCGGCCACAAUGGGACUGAGACACGGCCCAUACUCCUACGGGAGGCAGCAGUAGGGAAUCUUCCACAAUGGACGAAAGUCUGAUGGAGCAACGCCGCGUGUGUGAUGAAGGUUUCGGCUCGUAAAACACUAGUUGUAAGAGAAGAAUGACAUUGAGAGUAAC
This 476-nucleotide ribosomal RNA is filed under the name uncultured bacterium. Its description in RNAcentral is "bacterial SSU rRNA". It matches the Rfam family "Bacterial small subunit ribosomal RNA", at positions 28 to 465 of the family's 1533-position model. The record is from RNAcentral.